AAGACCAAGUUCAUAUGCCACACGCCUAGCCGUGGCAAGGACAGCGACACGGCGUGGUUGAGUAACUCCAAUAAUACCACCUCGGGCAACAGACUGUUUUGAACCAAAGCCUGCUUCAUAAAGGAACUGAGGAACUUGAGUAGUUUUUCCACACCCUGUUUCUCCACAGAUAAUAACAGUGGAAUGCCCAUUUAUAGCUUCCAUUAUCUCCUGUUCCAUCAUAACUAUUGGAAGAUCCUUCCUUUGCUCUUCCACAGCAUUGGGCCUUACAACGUGCACUACUGUUGGAGAGGCAAUAGGACUUUGAAAAUAACAUUUCAGUACGUUGCGAGUCCCUCCCAAAGCUGCAAUCGAGCUCUCAUCUGAUUUAACCAUUAAGUGAGAGGUUUUCCUAGUAUCA
RNAcentral lists this unclassified non-coding RNA (400 nucleotides) under Hevea brasiliensis (rubber tree). The record is from RNAcentral. Lineage: Eukaryota; Viridiplantae; Streptophyta; Magnoliopsida; Malpighiales; Euphorbiaceae.